This 397-nucleotide ribosomal RNA is filed under the name uncultured bacterium. Its description in RNAcentral is "partial 16S ribosomal RNA". It matches the Rfam family "Bacterial small subunit ribosomal RNA", at positions 523 to 918 of the family's 1533-position model. The record is from RNAcentral.
AUACGUAGGGGGCGAGCGUUGUCCGGAAUGAUUGGGCGUAAAGGGCGCGUAGGCGGCCCGGUAAGUCUGGAGUGAAAGUCCUGUUUUUAAGAUGGGAAUUGCUUUGGAUACUGUCGGGCUUGAGUGCAGGAGAGGUAAGUGGAAUUCCCAGUGUAGCGGUGAAAUGCGUAGAGAUUGGGAGGAACACCAGUGGCGAAGGCGACUUACUGGACUGUAACUGACGCUGAGGCGCGAAAGUGUGGGGAGCAAACAGGAUUAGAUACCCUGGUAGUCCACACUGUAAACGAUGAAUGCUAGGUGUAGGGGGUAUCGACCCCUUCUGUGCCGCAGUCAACACAAUAAGCAUUCCGCCUGGGGAGUUCGGCCGCAAGGUUGAAACUCAAAUGAAUUGGCGGGG